UUUGACCGGGUCGUGGCAGCCGGAGUCGUCUUCGGGACGCGCCUGCUCUUCGCCUUUCGCUGCAGUCCGUCGAUUUCUUUCUCCAGGAAGAAAAAUGGCAUCCGUUGCAGUUGAUCCACAACCGAGUGUGGUGACUCGGGUGGUCAACCUGCCCUUGGUGAGCUCCACGUAUGACCUCAUGUCCUCAGCCUAUCUCAAUACAAAGGACCAGUAUCCCUACCUGAAGUCUGUGUGUGAGAUGGCAGAGAACGGUGUGAAGACCAUCACCUCCGUGGCCAUGACCAGUGCUCUGCCCAUCAUCCAGAAGCUAGAGCCGCAAAGUGAGUUCUGAUUUUUCAAGAUGCAAGUCAAGGGACUGGUCAGUGGCGAGCCCCUGAGCUCACAGCAGUAACAUCUGGAACUCCUCAGCCCUUCCUGGGGCAUACACUGCCUUUACCUAGAAACUUUCAGGUGACCCUCAUUACCGUAAGAGGACUGUUUCUUUUCUUUUCUUUCCUUUUUUUUUUUGAGAUGGAGUCUCACUCUAUCACUCAGGCUGGAGUUCAGUGGCGCAAUCUUGGCUCACUGCAACCUCUGUCUGCUGGGUUCAAGUGAUUCUCCUGCCUCAGCCUCCCGAGUAGCUGGGACUACAGGCUCCCACCACCAUGCCCAGCUAAUUUUUGUAUUUUUAGUAGAGACGCGGUUUCACAAUAUUGGCCAGGCUUAACUCCUGACUUUGUGAUCCACCCACCUCUGCCUCCCAAAGUGCUGGGAUUACAGGCGUGAGCCACCGCGCCUGUCCACAGAAGGCCUGUUUC
RNAcentral lists this small RNA (797 nucleotides) under Pan troglodytes (chimpanzee). Its description in RNAcentral is "processed transcript". Lineage: Eukaryota; Metazoa; Chordata; Mammalia; Primates; Hominidae. The record is from RNAcentral.